RNAcentral lists this ribosomal RNA (862 nucleotides) under uncultured bacterium. RNAcentral describes it as "bacterial SSU rRNA". It matches the Rfam family "Bacterial small subunit ribosomal RNA", at positions 56 to 925 of the family's 1533-position model. The record is from RNAcentral.
UGCAGUCGAGGGGUAUAUGUCUUCGGAUAUAGAGACCGGCGCACGGGUGCGUAACGCGUAUGCAAUCUGCCUUUCACAGAGGGAUAGCCCAGAGAAAUUUGGAUUAAUACCUCAUAGUAUUAUAGGAUGGCAUCAUUUUAUAAUUAAAGUCACAACGGUGAAAGAUGAGCAUGCGUCCCAUUAGUUAGUUGGUAAGGUAACGGCUUACCAAGACUUCGAUGGGUAGGGGUCCUGAGAGGGAGAUCCCCCACACUGGUACUGAGACACGGACCAGACUCCUACGGGAGGCAGCAGUGAGGAAUAUUGGUCAAUGGGCGCAAGCCUGAACCAGCCAUGCCGCGUGCAGGAUGACGGUCCUAUGGAUUGUAAACUGCUUUUGUACGAGAAGAAACACUCCUACGUGUAGGAGCUUGACGGUAUCGUAAGAAUAAGGAUCGGCUAACUCCGUGCCAGCAGCCGCGGUAAUACGGAGGAUCCAAGCGUUAUCCGGAAUCAUUGGGUUUAAAGGGUCCGUAGGCGGUCUUGUAAGUCAGUGGUGAAAGCCCAUCGCUCAACGAUGGAACGGCCAUUGAUACUGCAGGACUUGAAUUACCAGGAAGUAACUAGAAUAUGUAGUGUAGCGGUGAAAUGCUUAGAGAUUACAUGGAAUACCAAUUGCGAAGGCAGGUUACUACUGGUUUAUUGACGCUGAUGGACGAAAGCGUGGGUAGCGAACAGGAUUAGAUACCCUGGUAGUCCACGCCGUAAACGAUGGAUACUAGCUGUUGGGGGCAACUUCAGUGGCUAAGCGAAAGUGAUAAGUAUCCCACCUGGGGAGUACGUUCGCAAGAAUGAAACUCAAAGGAAUUGACGGGGGCCCGCA